Molecule: ribosomal RNA, 833 nt
Filed under: uncultured bacterium
Lineage: Bacteria
Description: bacterial SSU rRNA
Rfam family: Bacterial small subunit ribosomal RNA
Source: RNAcentral
GNAUUUAUUGGGCGUAAAGGGAGCGCAGGCGNUCAGGAAAGUCUGGAGUAAAAGGCUAUGGCUCAACCAUAGUGUGCUCUGGAAACUNUCUGACUUGAGUGCAGAAGGGGAGAGUGGAAUUCCAUGUGUAGCGGUGAAAUGCGUAGAUAUAUGGAGGAACACCAGUGGCGAAAGCGGCUCUNUGGUCUGUCACUGACGCUGAGGCUCGAAAGCGUGGGUAGCGAACAGGAUUAGAUACCCUGGUAGUNCACGCCGUAAACGAUGAGUGCUAGGUGUUAGGCCCUUUCCGGGGCUUAGUGCCGGAGCUAACGCAAUAAGCACUCCGCCUGGGGAGUACGACCGCAAGGUUGAAACUCAAAGGAAUUGACGGGGGCCCGCACAAGCGGUGGAGCAUGUGGUUUAAUUCGAAGCAACGCGAAGAACCUUACCAGGUCUUGACAUCCCGAUGCUAUUCUUAGAGAUAGGAAGUUACUUCGGUACAUCGGAGACAGGUGGUGCAUGGUUGUCGUCAGCUCGUGUCGUGAGAUGUUGGGUUAANNNNCGCAACGAGCGCAACCCUUAUUGUUAGUUGCCAUCAUUAAGUUGGGCACUCUAGCGAGACUGCCGGUAAUAAACCGGAGGAAGGUGGGGAUGACGUCAAAUCAUCAUGCCCCUUAUGACCUGGGCUACACACGUGCUACAAUGGUCGGUACAACGAGUUGCGAGCCGGUGACGGCAAGCUAAUCUCUGAAAGCCGAUCUCAGUUCGGAUUGGAGGCUGCAACUCGCCUCCAUGAAGUCGGAAUCGCUAGUAAUCGCGGAUCAGCACGCCGCGGUGAAUACGUUCCCGGGCCU